RNAcentral lists this long non-coding RNA (1062 nucleotides) under Citrus maxima (pomelo). RNAcentral describes it as "long non-coding RNA (CMAX_LNC001149)". The record is from RNAcentral. Lineage: Eukaryota; Viridiplantae; Streptophyta; Magnoliopsida; Sapindales; Rutaceae.
UAAGUGAUUCUCAUUAUGUUUUGGAGGAAGAAAUAAUAAAAAUUAAUUCAAUCUCUGUUAAUUCUUUUUUCUUCCCUUUGAAUUCUUAAAUUUUUUAUUUGUUCUCUCUUCAAUUCUCUAAUCAAAACUCUAAAACCUAUAAAAAAAGGAUCCAAAAGAGAAAAGAAAAAUCGAAAGAAAAUGAAGGAAAAACAAAGAAGAAGAAGUUAGCAAAUAAAAAAGAUGAAGAAGAAGAAAAAAAAAAUAGAAGCAAGAGAAGGAACAAACUAGAAAAGAAAAUGAAAAAGAGAAAUAUAUUCAAUUAUUAAUUUUUUAUUUGCGGCUCCCAUUUUACCCUUGUGUCGUUAUAUUUGAUGAGAAAAUUUAUGAUUUAUCACCUAUCAACUUAUUUUUAAAAAUUGUAUCAUUUUUUUAUAUUUAUUGAAAUAUUGUCACUUAAGUGAUAUUAACCCAAUCUACAAUUUAUAGUUUAUGGUUCACACCGGGUGAGGAAUGUUACGAUCCUAAUAGUUUAUUUUACUUUCUUUCCUAUUAAGAUUAGGUUUUCUUAUUGCAAUUAUGAUUUAGGAUUCUAAUUAGAUUAGAAUUAGGAUUGUGUUAAGUUAUUAUAAAUAAGUGAUUCUCAUUAUGUUUUGGAGGAAGAAAUAAUAAAAAUUAAUUUUAAUCUCUGUUAAUUCUUUUUUCUUCCCUUUGAAUUAUUAAAUUUUUUAUUUUUUCUCUCUUCAAUUCUCUAAUCAAAACUCUAAAACCUAUCAAAAAAGGGUCCAAAGAGAGGAAAGAAAAAUCGAAAGAAAAUGAAGGAAAAAAGAAGAAGAAGUUAGCAAAUAAAAAAGAUGAAGAAGAAGAAAACCCAAAAAAAAAAAAAUAGAAGCAAGAGAAGGAACAAACUAGAAAAGAAAAGAAAAAUAAAACGAAAAUUAAAAAGAGAAAUAUAUUCAAUUAUUAAUUUUUUAUUUGCGACUCCCACUUUACGCUUGCGUCGUUAUAUUUGAUGAGAAAAUUUAUGAUUUAUCACCUAUCAACUUAUUUUUAAAAAUUGUAUCAUUUUUUUAUAUUUAUUGA